GACGAACGCUGGCGGCGUGCCUAAUACAUGCAAGUAGAACGCUGAAGAGAGGAGCUUGCUCUUCUUGGAUGAGUUGCGAACGGGUGAGUAACGCGUAGGUAACCUGCCUUGUAGCGGGGGAUAACUAUUGGAAACGAUAGCUAAUACCGCAUAACAAUGGAUGACACAUGUCAUUUAUUUGAAGGGGGCAAUUGCUCCACUACAAGAUGGACCUGCGUUGUAUUAGCUAGUAGGUGAGGUAAUGGCUCACCUAGGCGACGAUACAUAGCCGACCUGAGAGGGUGAUCGGCCACACUGGGACUGAGACACGGCCCAGACUCCUACGGGAGGCAGCAGUAGGGAAUCUUCGGCAAUGGGGGCAACCCUGACCGAGCAACGCCGCGUGAGUGAAGAAGGUUUUCGGAUCGUAAAGUUCUGUUGUAAGUCAAGAACGGGUGUGAGAGUGGAAAGUUCACACUGUGACGGUAGCUUACCAGAAAGGGACGGCUAACUACGUG
RNAcentral lists this ribosomal RNA (497 nucleotides) under uncultured bacterium. RNAcentral's name for it is "partial 16S ribosomal RNA". It matches the Rfam family "Bacterial small subunit ribosomal RNA", at positions 28 to 507 of the family's 1533-position model. The record is from RNAcentral.